RNAcentral lists this ribosomal RNA (245 nucleotides) under uncultured Sporobacter sp. RNAcentral's name for it is "partial 16S ribosomal RNA". It matches the Rfam family "Bacterial small subunit ribosomal RNA", at positions 524 to 768 of the family's 1533-position model. The record is from RNAcentral. Lineage: Bacteria; Bacillati; Bacillota; Clostridia; Eubacteriales; Oscillospiraceae.
UACGUAGGUGGCGAGCGUUAUCCGGAUUUACUGGGUGUAAAGGGCGCGUAGGCGGCCUGUCAAGUCAGAUGUGAAAUCCCCGGGCUUAACCCGGGAACUGCAUUUGAAACUAAUGGGCUUGAGUAUCGGAGAGGCAGGCGGAAUUCCGUGUGUAGCGGUGAAAUGCGUAGAUAUACGGAGGAACACCAGUGGCGAAGGCGGCCUGCUGGACGACAACUGACGCUGAGGCGCGAAAGCGUGGGGAG